AUUGAACGCUGGCGGCAGGCCUAACACAUGCAAGUCGAGCGGAGUGGCGGACGGGUGAGUAUUGCCUAGGUAUCUGCCUGGGAGUGGGGGAUACCGUCCGGUAAUGGGCUCUAUUACCGCCUACUAUCCGAUUACCCUUGGUCGGAUUCGCUAGAUGGUGGGGUAAAGGCCUACCAAGGGGACGAUCCCUAGCUGGCCUGGGAGGAUGACCAGCCACACGGGAACUGAGGAACGGACCAGACGCCUACGGGAGGGGGCAGGGGGGAAUAUUGCAGAAUGGGCGCAAGCCUGAUGCAGCCAUGCCGCGUGUGUGAAGAAGGCCUUCGGGUUGUAAAGUACUUUCGGCGGGGAGGCGUUACCCGUAGAAGAAGCACCGGCUAACUCCGUGCCAGCAGCCGCGGUAAUAC
RNAcentral lists this ribosomal RNA (407 nucleotides) under uncultured bacterium. RNAcentral's name for it is "partial 16S ribosomal RNA". It matches the Rfam family "Bacterial small subunit ribosomal RNA", at positions 28 to 526 of the family's 1533-position model. The record is from RNAcentral.